GAACGCUGAAGCCCCAGCUUGCUGGGGUGGAUGAGUGGCGAACGGGUGAGAAACACGUGAGUAACCUUCCCUUGACUCUGGGAUAAGCCUGGGAAACCGGGUCUAAUACCGGAUGCGACCGGCCUCCGCAUGGUGGUUGGUGGAAAGAUUUAUCGGUCUUGGAUGGACUCGCGGCCUAUCAGCUGGUUGGUGGGGUAAUGGCCUACCAAGGCGACGACGGGUAGCCGGCCUGAGAGGGUGACCGGCCACACUGGGACUGAGACACGGCCCAGACUCCUACGGGAGGCAGCAGUGGGGAAUAUUGCACAAUGGGCGCAAGCCUGAUGCAGCGACGCCGCGUGAGGGAUGACGGCCUUCGGGUUGUAAACCUCUUUCAGUAGGGAAGAAGCGCAAGUGACGGUACCUGCAGAAGAAGCGCCGGCUAACUACGUGCCAGCAGCCGCGGUAAUACGUAGGGCGCGAGCGUUAUCCGGAAUUAUUGGGCGUAAAGAGCUCGUAGGCGGUUUGUCGCGUCUGCCGUGAAAGUCCGGGGCUUAACCCCGGAUCUGCGGUGGGUACGGGCAGACUGGAGUGCAGUAGGGGAGACUGGAAUUCCUGGUGUAGCGGUGAAAUGCGCAGAUAUCAGGAGGAACACCGAUGGCGAAGGCAGGUCUCUGGGCUGUUACUGACGCUGAGGAGCGAAAGCAUGGGGAGCGAACAGGAUUAGAU
RNAcentral lists this ribosomal RNA (708 nucleotides) under Micrococcus sp. MJB30. RNAcentral's name for it is "bacterial SSU rRNA". It matches the Rfam family "Bacterial small subunit ribosomal RNA", at positions 64 to 783 of the family's 1533-position model. Lineage: Bacteria; Bacillati; Actinomycetota; Actinomycetes; Micrococcales; Micrococcaceae. The record is from RNAcentral.